ACAGAGCUGCAUGGCUCAGUGUGAAAAACUCCGGUGGUAUAAGAUGGACCCGCGUUGGAUUAGCUAGUUGGUGGGGUAACGGCCCACCAAGGCGACGAUCCAUAGCCGGCCUGAGAGGGUGAACGGCCACAUUGGGACUGAGACACGGCCCAGACUCCUACGGGAGGCAGCAGUGGGGAAUAUUGCACAAUGGGGGAAACCCUGAUGCAGCGACGCCGCGUGAAGGAAGAAGUAUCUCGGUAUGUAAACUUCUAUCAGCAGGGAAGAUAGUGACGGUACCUGACUAAGAAGCCCCGGCUAACUACGUGCCAGCAGCCGCGGUAAUACGUAGGGGGCAAGCGUUAUCCGGAUUUACUGGGUGUAAAGGGAGCGUAGACGGUGUGGCAAGUCUGAUGUGAAAGGCAUGGGCUCAACCUGUGGACUGCAUUGGAAACUGUCAUACUUGAGUGCCGGAGGGGUAAGCGGAAUUCCUAGUGUAGCGGUGAAAUGCGUAGAUAUUAGGAGGACACCAGUGGCGAAGGCGGCUUACUGGACGGUAACUGACGUUGA
This 549-nucleotide ribosomal RNA is filed under the name uncultured Lachnospiraceae bacterium. RNAcentral's name for it is "bacterial SSU rRNA". It matches the Rfam family "Bacterial small subunit ribosomal RNA", at positions 180 to 749 of the family's 1533-position model. Lineage: Bacteria; Bacillati; Bacillota; Clostridia; Lachnospirales; Lachnospiraceae. The record is from RNAcentral.